AUCCUUUUGUAGUUUAUAAGUGUGAUGACUGGGGUUUCACGUGCAUGUGUGAAAUGUGCCUUCCCCAAGCCUUGUUACGACCUCAUUGGAACAUUACCCCUUUGACA
This is a small nucleolar RNA of Pongo abelii (Sumatran orangutan), 107 nucleotides long. The record is from Ensembl. NCBI's taxonomy places the organism in Eukaryota, Metazoa, Chordata, Mammalia, Primates, Hominidae.